UCCUCCCACCCUCCUCCCUCAAGCAGGCCCCAAUGUCUGUUGUUCCCCUCUUUCUGUCCCUGUGUUCUCAUCUCCGACAUAUAAAUGAAAACACGCGUAGUUUACUACUGGUUUCGUUUUCAAUGGUGGUGAAAGAAACAUCACGCUGAAUUGGCCCUUAGGACACUCCCCCGCCCCCACACCAAGCCCAGGGAGGAAGACCGACUGAAAGUAAGAGCGCUACUCUCGCAUUAGGGACGCGAGGAAACUUCCAGCUCCGCUUUUGCCACGUUCUCCCACUGGAUUCGACAAGAUUACUGUGAAACAGUCUCUACAAGGCAAGUUAAGUUUGCCCGAUAAAGUUCAGAGAAUAAUCCAGAAAGCCUCAUGGGAGAGGGUGGUCAGUACUCUAACCACGCCCACCCCUCCCUCCCUCCCUCUCAACUGAGAGCCGACUCCAACUUCUCAACCACUUUGUUUUACGAGCGCCUCCCACCUCCGCGCAUGCGCCUUACGCCUUCCACAAUAUCACACCCUUGCCCGUUCACAUCUCGUACGCAUGCGCCAAUUCUAUCGCCUCAGUUCCUGUUACUAAUUCCUUGUGCCCUCAGCGGCCAAAGCUCACGACUUCGCUGUUGCUCCCGCGCCAGCACUAACCGAUACUCAAACUCCUCGUCGUCGUAUUUGUCCGAAUAGUAAAUUUGUUUGUGCGACAUGAUCGCUCAGUUUGCUAGCCUUCAGCCCCGCGCCGCCAACCUCCAAGCAACUCCCAACAGCAAGCGCUCCCACCCACUUUGG
Molecule: long non-coding RNA, 777 nt
Organism: Pongo pygmaeus (Bornean orangutan)
Lineage: Eukaryota; Metazoa; Chordata; Mammalia; Primates; Hominidae
Exons: 2
Source: RefSeq, a predicted model, not a curated record